This 193-nucleotide small nucleolar RNA is filed under the name Bipolaris zeicola 26-R-13. The record is from RNAcentral. Lineage: Eukaryota; Fungi; Ascomycota; Dothideomycetes; Pleosporales; Pleosporaceae.
CGGUCUCUUGCCUCGCUCAAUCCGCUGUUCCCACUUGGCGGAUUUCGAGCUGGAUACACACAUACUCUUUUUUUGUUUCUUUUUUCAAAUAGAGACAUGUGUGUACGAGACAAGACUAAAUGCGACGAUUUUUGAGUACGGAACCGCCUGAUUCCAUGUGUCGGACCUCCGUAAUUUAUCUGUCGGGACAUGC